AAGAAAGUUCCUCAUAAAGAGGCUGGUGUCUUGAAAAUACCAUGGUGAGAGGGUGGAGCUCUUAACUUUCUUA
This 73-nucleotide transfer RNA is filed under the name Saccostrea cuccullata (small rock oyster). Its description in RNAcentral is "Saccostrea cucullata (small rock oyster) tRNA-Ser". RNAcentral also lists the same sequence under 8 other names. The record is from RNAcentral. Lineage: Eukaryota; Metazoa; Mollusca; Bivalvia; Ostreida; Ostreidae.